Molecule: ribosomal RNA, 807 nt
Filed under: uncultured bacterium
Lineage: Bacteria
Description: bacterial SSU rRNA
Rfam family: Bacterial small subunit ribosomal RNA
Source: RNAcentral
UAGUUGGCAGGGUAACGGCCUACCAAGGCAACGAUCGAUAGGGGAGCUGAGAGGUUGAUCCCCCACACGGGCACUGAGAUACGGGCCCGACUCCUACGGGAGGCAGCAGUAGGGAAUAUUGGGCAAUGGAUGCAAGUCUGACCCAGCCAUGCCGCGUGCCGGAAGAAGGCCCUCAGGGUUGUAAACGGCUUUUAUUCGGGAAGAAGAAUAGGGAUGCGUCCUUAUGUGACGGUACCGAAUGAAUAAGCACCGGCUAACUCCGUGCCAGCAGCCGCGGUAAUACGGAGGGUGCGAGCGUUGUCCGGAUUUAUUGGGUUUAAAGGGUGCGUAGGUGGCUGUUUAAGUCAGUGGUGAAAUACAGCCGCUCAACGGUUGAGGUGCCAUUGAUACUGAAUAGCUUGAAAUAAUUGGAGGCUGCCGGAAUGGAUGGUGUAGCGGUGAAAUGCAUAGAUAUCAUCCAGAACACCGAUUGCGAAGGCAGGUGGCUACGAUUUAUUUGACACUGAGGCACGAAAGCAUGGGGAGCAAACAGGAUUAGAUACCCUGGUAGUCCAUGCCGUAAACGAUGAGGACUCGCUGUUGGUGCACCCGCAUCAGCGGCUUAGGGAAACCGUUAAGUCCUCCACCUGGGGAGUACGCCGGCAACGGUGAAACUCAAAGGAAUUGACGGGGGUCCGCACAGGCGGUGGAGCAUGUGGUUUAAUUCGAUGAUACGCGAGGAACCUUACCUGGGCUAAAUCAGACAGGAAUUAUCCAGAAAUGGAUAAGCCAGCAAUGGCCUGUUUGAAGGUGCUGCAUGGCUGUCGU